GAUGAAGAACGCAGCGAAAUGCGAUAAGUAGUGUGAAUUGCAGAAUUCAGUGAAUCAUCGAAUCUUUGAACGCACAUUGCGCCGCUUGGUACUCCAUGGGGCAUGCCUGUUCGAGCGUCAUUUGUACCUUCAAGCUCUGCUUGGUGUUGGGUGUUUGUCUCGCCUCUGCGUGUAGACUCGCCUCAAAACAAUUGGCAGCCGGCGUAUUGAUUUCGGAGCGCAGUACAUCUCGCGCUUUGCACUCAUAACGACGACGUCCAAAAGUACAUUUUUACACUCUUGACCUCGGAUCAGGUAGGGAUACCCGCUGAACUUAAGCAUAUCAAUAAGCGGAGGA
Molecule: unclassified non-coding RNA, 337 nt
Filed under: soil metagenome
Description: partial contains 5.8S ribosomal RNA, internal transcribed spacer 2, and large subunit ribosomal RNA
Rfam family: 5.8S ribosomal RNA (bases 1-120)
Source: RNAcentral